RNAcentral lists this ribosomal RNA (796 nucleotides) under uncultured bacterium. Its description in RNAcentral is "bacterial SSU rRNA". It matches the Rfam family "Bacterial small subunit ribosomal RNA", at positions 8 to 796 of the family's 1533-position model. The record is from RNAcentral.
AGAGUUUGAUCAUGGCUCAGAUUGAACGCUGGCGGCAGGCCUAACACAUGCAAGUCGAGCGGAUGAAAGGAGCUUGCUCCUGGAUUCAGCGGCGGACGGGUGAGUAAUGCCUAGGAAUCUGCCUGGUAGUGGGGGACAACGUUUCGAAAGGAACGCUAAUACCGCAUACGUCCUACGGGAGAAAGCAGGGGACCUUCGGGCCUUGCGCUAUCAGAUGAGCCUAGGUCGGGAUUAGCUAGUUGGUGAGGUAAUGGCUCACCCAAGGCGACGAUCCGUAACUGGUCUGAGAGGAUGAUCAGUCACACUGGAACUGAGACACGGUCCCAGACUCCUACGGGAGGCAGCAGUGGGGAAUAUUGGACAAUGGGCGAAAGCCUGAUCCAGCCAUGCCGCGUGUGUGAAGAAGGUCUUCGGAUUGUAAAGCACUUUAAGUUGGGAGGAAGGGCAGUAAAUUAAUACUUUGCUGUUUUGACGUUACCGACAGAAUAAGCACCGGCUAACUCUGUGCCAGCAGCCGCGGUAAUACAGAGGGUGCAAGCGUUAAUCGGAAUUACUGGGCGUAAAGCGCGCGUAGGUGGUUUGUUAAGUUGGAUGUGAAAUCCCCGGGCUCAACCUGGGAACUGCAUCCAAAACUGGCAAGCUAGAGUAUGGUAGAGGGUGGUGGAAUUUCCUGUGUAGCGGUGAAAUGCGUAGAUAUAGGAAGGAACACCAGUGGCGAAGGCGACCACCUGGACUGAUACUGACACUGAGGUGCGAAAGCGUGGGGAGCAAACAGGAUUAGAUACCCUAGUAGUCC